Molecule: ribosomal RNA, 256 nt
Filed under: Yersinia enterocolitica
Lineage: Bacteria; Pseudomonadati; Pseudomonadota; Gammaproteobacteria; Enterobacterales; Yersiniaceae
Description: partial 23S ribosomal RNA
Rfam family: Bacterial large subunit ribosomal RNA
Source: RNAcentral
AGGGCGGGACACGUGACAUCCUGUCUGAAUAUGGGGGGACCAUCCUCCAAGGCUAAAUACUCCUGACUGACCGAUAGUGAACCAGUACCGUGAGGGAAAGGCGAAAAGAACCCCGGCGAGGGGAGUGAAACAGAACCUGAAACCGUGUACGUACAAGCAGUGGGAGCACCUUCGUGGUGUGACUGCGUACCUUUUGUAUAAUGGGUCAGCGACUUAUAUUUUGUAGCAAGGUUAACCGAAUAGGGGAGCCGUAGGG